UACGUAGGCAGCGAGCGUUGUUCGGAAUUACUGGGCGUAAAGAGUGUGUAGGCGGUGCUCUAAGUUCGGUGUGAAAUCUCCUGGCUUAACUGGGAGGGUGCGCCGGAAACUGGAGUGCUCGAACGUGGGAGAGGAAAGCGGAAUUCCUGGUGUAGCGGUGAAAUGCGUAGAUAUCAGGAGGAACACCUGCGGUGUAGACGGCUUUCUGGCCUGCGACUGACGCUGUGGCGCGAAAGCUAGGGGAGCGAACGGG
Molecule: ribosomal RNA, 253 nt
Filed under: uncultured bacterium
Lineage: Bacteria
Description: partial 16S ribosomal RNA
Rfam family: Bacterial small subunit ribosomal RNA
Source: RNAcentral